Molecule: ribosomal RNA, 433 nt
Filed under: uncultured bacterium
Lineage: Bacteria
Description: partial 16S ribosomal RNA
Rfam family: Bacterial small subunit ribosomal RNA
Source: RNAcentral
AACGAACGCUGGCGGCAUGCCUAACACAUGCAAGUCGAACGAGACCUUCGGGUCUAGUGGCGCACGGGUGCGUAACGCGUGGGAACCUGCCUUUAGGUUCGGAAUAACUCAGAGAAAUUUGAGCUAAUACCGGAUGAUGUCUUCGGACCAAAGAUUUAUCGCCUUUAGAUGGGCCCGCGUUGGAUUAGCUAGUUGGUGGGGUAAAGGCCUACCAAGGCGGCGAUCCAUAGCUGGUCUGAGAGGAUGAUCAGCCACACUGGGACUGAGACACGGCCCAGACUCCUACGGGAAGCAGCAGUGGGGAAUAUUGGACAAUGGGCGAAAGCCUGAUCCAGCAAUGCCGCGUGAGUGAUGAAGGCCUUAGGGUUGUAAAGCUCUUUUACCCGAGAUGAUAAUGACAGUAUCGGGAGAAUAAGCUCCGGCUAACUCCGUG